AUUCCGGUUGAUCCUGCCGGAGGAUAUUGCUAUUGGAAUCCGAUUUAGCCAUGCUAGUCGCACGGGUUAGACACCGGGGGGAACAGCUCAGGAACACGUGGCCAAACUGCCCUGUGGACGGGGAUAAUCUCGGGAAACUGAGGCUAAUCCCCGAUAGGGCUUCCAUCCUGGAGUGGAGGAAGUCCAAAAGUUGCGCUGCGGCAUCCACAGGAUGUGGCUGCGGCCGAUUAGGUAGACGGUGGGGUAACGGCCCACCGUGCCAGUAAUCGGUACGGGUGAUGAGAGUCAGAGCACCGGAGACGGAAUCUGAGACAAGAUUCCGGGCCCUACGGGGCGCAGCAGGCGCGAAACCUUUACACUGCACGGAAGUGCGAUAG
This 377-nucleotide ribosomal RNA is filed under the name uncultured Halobacterium sp. Its description in RNAcentral is "bacterial SSU rRNA". It matches the Rfam family "Archaeal small subunit ribosomal RNA", at positions 1 to 373 of the family's 1478-position model. The record is from RNAcentral. Lineage: Archaea; Methanobacteriati; Methanobacteriota; Halobacteria; Halobacteriales; Halobacteriaceae.